Molecule: ribosomal RNA, 250 nt
Filed under: uncultured bacterium
Lineage: Bacteria
Description: partial 16S ribosomal RNA
Rfam family: Bacterial small subunit ribosomal RNA
Source: RNAcentral
UACAGAGGUCUCAAGCGUUGUUCGGAUUCAUUGGGCGUAAAGGGUGCGUAGGCUGUGAGGCAAGUCGGGUGUGAAAUCCCGGGGCUCAACCCCGGAACUGCAUCCGAUACUGCCUCGCUGGAGGACUGGAGAGGGGACUGGAAUUCUCGGUGUAGCAGUGAAAUGCGUAGAUAUCGAGAGGAACACCGGUGGCGAAGGCGUGUCCCUGGACAGAUCCUGACGCUGAGGCACGAAGGCCAGGGGAGCAAAC